AACGAACGCUGGCGGCAGGCUUAACACAUGCAAGUCGAACGCUCUACUUCGGUAGAGAGUGGCGCACGGGUGAGUAACGCGUGGGAAUAUGCCCUUUAGUACGGGAUAACAGUUGGAAACGAUUGCUAAUACCGUAUACGCCCUUCGGGGGAAAGAUUUAUCGCUAAAGGAUUAGCCCGCGUGAGAUUAGGUAGUUGGUAGGGUAAAGGCCUACCAAGCCUACGAUCUCUAGCUGGUCUGAGAGGAUGAUCAGCCACACUGGAACUGAGACACGGUCCAG
This 280-nucleotide ribosomal RNA is filed under the name uncultured bacterium. RNAcentral describes it as "partial 16S ribosomal RNA". It matches the Rfam family "Bacterial small subunit ribosomal RNA", at positions 29 to 334 of the family's 1533-position model. The record is from RNAcentral.